UGAAGUUGGCCUUAGCGAAGCGUGCACGCCU
RNAcentral lists this non-coding RNA (31 nucleotides) under Rattus norvegicus (Norway rat). The record is from RNAcentral. Lineage: Eukaryota; Metazoa; Chordata; Mammalia; Rodentia; Muridae.